Molecule: ribosomal RNA, 508 nt
Filed under: uncultured bacterium
Lineage: Bacteria
Description: partial 16S ribosomal RNA
Rfam family: Bacterial small subunit ribosomal RNA
Source: RNAcentral
AUUGAACGCUGGCGGCAUGCCUUACACAUGCAAGUCGAACGGCAGCGGGGGAGAAGCUUGCUUUUCCUGCCGGCGAGUGGCGAACGGGUGAGUAAUACAUCGGAACGUGCCCUGUAGUGGGGGAUAACUAGUCGAAAGAUUAGCUAAUACCGCAUACGACCUGAGGGUGAAAGUGGGGGACCGCAAGGCCUCAUGCUAUAGGAGCGGCCGAUGUCUGAUUAGCUAGUUGGUGGGGCAAAGGCCUACCAAGGCGACGAUCAGUAGCUGGUCUGAGAGGACGAUCAGCCACACUGGGACUGGGACACGGCCCAGACUCCGACGGGAGGCAGCAGCGGGGAAUUUUGGACAAUGGGCGAAGGCCUGAUCCAGCAAUGCCGCGUGUGUGAAGAAGGCCUUCGGGUUGUAAAGCACUUUUGUCCGGAAAGAAAUGGCUCUGGUUAAUACCUGGGGUCGAUGACGGUACCGGAAGAAUAAGGACCGGCUAACUACGUGCCAGCAGCCGCCGUAA